Molecule: ribosomal RNA, 205 nt
Filed under: uncultured bacterium
Lineage: Bacteria
Description: partial 16S ribosomal RNA
Rfam family: Bacterial small subunit ribosomal RNA
Source: RNAcentral
CGCGCAGGCGGCUGGUCAAGUCCGAUGUGAAAUCUCCCGGCUCAACUGGGAAACUGCAUCGGAAACUGAUCGGCUUGAAGGUGGGAGAGGGUAGUGGAAUUCCCGGUGUAGUGGUGAAAUGCGUAGAUAUCGGGAGGAACACCAGUGGCGAAGGCGACUACCUGGCCCAUUCUUGACGCUGAGGCGCGAAAGCUAGGGAGCAACG